RNAcentral lists this ribosomal RNA (509 nucleotides) under uncultured bacterium. RNAcentral describes it as "bacterial SSU rRNA". It matches the Rfam family "Bacterial small subunit ribosomal RNA", at positions 821 to 1329 of the family's 1533-position model. The record is from RNAcentral.
UGUUGGUCUCAACUCGGAGAUCAGUGUCGAAGCUAACGCGUUAAGUUCGCCGCCUGGGGAGUACGGUCGCAAGACUGAAACUCAAAGGAAUUGACGGGGGCCCGCACAAGCGGUGGAGUAUGUGGUUUAAUUCGAUGCAACGCGAAGAACCUUACCUGGCCUUGACAUGUCUGGAAUUCUGCAGAGAUGCGGAAGUGCCUUCGGGAAUCAGAACACAGGUGCUGCAUGGCUGUCGACAACACGUGUCGUGAGAUGUUGGGUUAAGUCCCGCAACGAGCGCAACCCUUGUCCUUAGUUGCCAGCACGUAAUGGUGGGAACUCUAAGGAGACUGCCGGUGACAAACCGGAGGAAGGUGGGGAUGACGUCAAGUCAUCAUGGCCCUUACGGCCAGGGCUACACACGUACUACAAUGGUCGGGACAGAGGGCAGCAAGACCGGGAGAAGGAGCCAAUCCCAGAAACCCGAUCUCAGUCCGGAUCGCUUUCUUCAACUCGGGAAAUGAAGUCGG